AUGGGGGGCUCGCACAGCCGGGAGGACCACGACCUCUCCGACUCCGACGACGACGACACCUCCUCCCGCGCCUCCGACGCCUCCUCCGACUUCUCCACCCCUCCCCCCGCCUCCGCCUCCGCCUCCAGAGCCGCCAGAGCGGCGACCCCGGCCUCCGUCGUCGACGACAUCGACCACCACCUCCGCAACCUCCAACUCAAGUACUCCGAGCCCAUCUCCCCGAACCCUAGCCCCGCCCCCAACCCCGGCGCCUCCGCCUCCGCUUCCGCCGUCAAUGCGGUCAAGCUGUACCUCCACAUAGGCGGCUCCACGGCCGCCGCCCGCUGGGUGAACUCCGAGCGCCUCGCCGCCGUGUCCUUCGUCCGCUCAGGCGAGGGCGCCUCCGACCCCGACGAGGACGACGAGCCCACCGGGCCGUGGUUCCUCGUCGUGGGCUCCAAGAUCCGGGCCAAGGUCGGGCCCGAGCUGCAGCUCAAGACCUUCCCCUUGCAGCGGCGCGUCGACUUCGUGGCCGACGGCGUCUGGGCGCUCAAGUUCCUGCACGCCGACGGCUACGGCCACUUCAACGCCAAGUACCAGAGCUGCCUGUUCGAGAACAGCUACGGCGUCGAGGCCACCGACGAGGGCCGCGCCAAGGUGUUUGGGAAGGAGUUUGCUGCGUGGGCGCGCCCAGAGUGUGGCGAUGAGUCCAUCUGGGAGGACGCCAGUGAUGCUUUCUCGCCAGCCCCCAAGGGCAGCCCGAUGCCUGCACGGAGCCCGAUGUUGAGACCUCUGAUGGAGGAUUUCAGGGAAUUUGAGGAGCCUGUGGAGGAGGGUGAUGGUAACAUACAGAGCCUUGCGCUGGGCGCUCUUGACAACAGCUUCCUUGUUGGUGAUUCAGGCAUUCACGUGGUCAAGAACUUUGAGCACGGCAUACACGGGAAGGGUGUCUCUGUGAAGAUCUCUGGAGGGGGAACAAACUUCACCACACCAAAGAAAGCACUUCUGAUGCGUGCUGAGACUAACAUGCUCCUGAUGAGCCCAGCAACUGAUGGGAAGCCACAUGCCAAGGGGGUGCAUCAGCUUGACAUUGAGACAGGGAAGGUGGUCUCACAAUGGAAGUUCGGGAAGGAUGGAGCUGACAUUAACAUGAGGGAUAUCACUAAUGAUAGCAAGGGCGCACAGAUGGAUGCGUCUGAAUCCACAUUCCUGGGACUAGAUGACAACCGGUUGUGCCGGUGGGAUAUGAGGGAUAGACAUGGAAUAGUGCAGAACUUGGCUAGUUCAAUGGAGUCCCCAGUGUUGGAAUGGACCCAGGGGCAUCAGUUCUCCAGGGGAACAAACUUCCAGUGCUUUGCAUCAACUGGUGAUGGGUCCAUCGUGGUAGGCUCGUUGGAUGGGAAAAUUCGGUUGUACUCAAAGAGCUCUAUGAGGAUGGCGAAGACGGCCUUCCCAGGGCUGGGUUCACCAAUUACUCACGUGGAUGUGACGUACGAUGGGAAGUGGAUACUGGGAACCACUGAUACCUAUCUGGUACUCAUAUGCACCAUUUUCAUUGACAAGGAUGGGAAGGAGAAGACAGGAUUUGGUGGAAGAAUGGGGAACCGAAUUGCUGCACCAAGACUGCUCAAGCUCAGCCCACUCCACUCUCAUCUUGCAGGGGACAACAGCAAGUUUCGUGAGGGCAGGUUUUCAUGGGUCACGGAUAACGGCAAGCAGGAGAGGCAUCUCGUGACGACCGUGGGGAGGUACAGCGUGGUGUGGAACUUCCUCCAGGUGAAGAACAGCCACCAUGAGUGCUACAAGAACCAGGAGGGGCUCAAGAGUUGCUACUGCUACAAAGUGAUCCCCAAGGACGAGUCCAUCGUGGCCAGUCGCUUCAUGCACGAGAAGUACGACGUGAGCGACUGCCCCGAGGCACCUCUGGUCGUCGCGACCCCCAUGAAGGUCACCUCCUUCAGCGUGUCUAGCCAGCGCUAG
RNAcentral lists this ribosomal RNA (1959 nucleotides) under Triticum aestivum (bread wheat). RNAcentral describes it as "partial small subunit ribosomal RNA". Lineage: Eukaryota; Viridiplantae; Streptophyta; Magnoliopsida; Poales; Poaceae. The record is from RNAcentral.